UAAGCAUAUCAAUAAGCGGAGGAAAAGAAACCAACAGGGAUUGCCCUAGUAACGGCGAGUGAAGCGGCAAUAGCUCAAAUUUGAAAUCUGGCUCUGCUUUAGGGUCCGAGUUGUAAUUUGUAGAGGGUGCUUUGGCAUGGAUGGCGGUCUAAGUUCCUUGGAACAGGACAUCACAGAGGGUGAGAAUCCCGUAUGUGGUCGCUAAUCUUUGCUGUGUAAAGCCCCUUCAACGAGUCGAGUUGUUUGGGAAUGCAGCUCUAAAUGGGAGGUAAAUUUCUUCUAAAGCUAAAUAUUGGCCAGAGACCGAUAGCGCACAAGUAGAGUGAUCGAAAGAUGAAAAGCACUUUGGAAAGAGAGUCAAAAAGCACGUGAAAUUGUUGAAAGGGAAGCGCUUGUCGCCAGACUUGCCUGCAGUUGCUCACCUAGGCAUGUAGCCUGGGGCACUCUUCUGCAGGCAGGCCAGCAUCAGUUUGGGCAGCCGGAUAAAGGUCUCUGACACGUUCCUACCUUUGGGUAGAUGUCCAUAUAGGGGAGACGUCAUGCGGUUAGCCUGGACUGAGGUCCGCGCAUUGCUAGGAUGCUGGCGUAAUGGCUGUAAGCGGCCCGUCUUGAAACACGGACCAAGGAGUCUAACAUCUAUGCGAGUGUUUGGGUGUCAAGCCCGAGCGCGCAAUAAACGUGAACGGAGGUGGGAACCCUCUUUGGGGGUGCACCAUCGACCGAUCCUGAUGUCUUCGGAUGGAUUUGAGUAAGAGCAUAGCUGUUGGGACCCGAAAGAUGGUGAACUAUGCUUGAAUAGGGUGAAGCCAGAGGAAACUCUGGUGGAGGCUCGCAGCGGUUCUGACGUGCAAAUCGAUCGUCAAAUUUGGGCAUAGGGGCGAAAGACUAAUCGAACUAUCUAGUA
RNAcentral lists this ribosomal RNA (904 nucleotides) under Neohelicascus griseoflavus. Its description in RNAcentral is "Neohelicascus JY-2022a partial large subunit ribosomal RNA". It matches the Rfam family "Eukaryotic large subunit ribosomal RNA", at positions 35 to 949 of the family's 3401-position model. The record is from RNAcentral. Lineage: Eukaryota; Fungi; Ascomycota; Dothideomycetes; Pleosporales; Morosphaeriaceae.